AUUGAACGCUGGCGGCAGGCCUAACACAUGCAAGUCGAACGGUAACAGGAAGAAGCUUGCUUCUUUGCUGACGAGUGGCGGACGGGUGAGUAAUGUCUGGGAAACUGCCUGAUGGAGGGGGAUAACUACUGGAAACGGUAGCUAAUACCGCAUAACGUCGCAAGACCAAAGAGGGGGACCUUCGGGCCUCUUGCCAUCGGAUGUGCCCAGAUGGGAUUAGCUAGUAGGUGGGGUAACGGCUCACCUAGGCGACGAUCCCUAGCGGGUCUGAGAGGAUGACCAGCCACACUGGAACUGAGACACGGUCCAGACUCCUACGGGAGGCAGCAGUGGGGAAUAUUGCACAAUGGGCGCAAGCCUGAUGCAGCCAUGCCGCGUGUAUGAAGAAGGCCUUCGGGUUGUAAAGUACUUUCAGCGGGGAGGAAGGGAGUAAAGUUAAUACCUUUGCUCAUGGACGUUACCCGCAGAAGAAGCACCGGCUAACUCCGU
Molecule: ribosomal RNA, 489 nt
Filed under: uncultured bacterium
Lineage: Bacteria
Description: partial 16S ribosomal RNA
Rfam family: Bacterial small subunit ribosomal RNA
Source: RNAcentral